RNAcentral lists this ribosomal RNA (497 nucleotides) under uncultured bacterium. RNAcentral's name for it is "partial 16S ribosomal RNA". It matches the Rfam family "Bacterial small subunit ribosomal RNA", at positions 28 to 507 of the family's 1533-position model. The record is from RNAcentral.
GGUGAACGCUGGCGGCGUGCCUAAUACAUGCCAGUCGAGCGAACAGACGAGGAGCUUGCUCCUCUGACGUUAGCGGCGGACGGGUGAGUAACACGUGGAUAACCUACCUAUAAGACUGGGAUAACUUCGGGAAACCGGAGCUAAUACCGGAUAAUAUAUUGAACCGCAUGGUUCAAUAGUGAAAGACGGUUUUGCUGUCACUUAUAGAUGGAUCCGCGCCGCAUUAGCUAGUUGGUAAGGUAACGGCUUACCAAGGCAACGAUGCGUAGCCGACCUGAGAGGGUGAUCGGCCACACUGGAACUGAGACACGGCCCAGACUCCUACGGGAGGCAGCAGUAGGGAAUCUUCCGCAAUGGGCGAAAGCCUGACGGAGCAACGCCGCGUGAGUGAUGAAGGUCUUCGGAUCGUAAAACUCUGUUAUUAGGGAAGAACAAAUGUGUAAGUAACUAUGCACGUCUUGACGGUACCUAAUCAGAAAGCCACGGCUAACUACGUG